This 564-nucleotide ribosomal RNA is filed under the name Streptomyces sp. 418H04. RNAcentral's name for it is "bacterial SSU rRNA". It matches the Rfam family "Bacterial small subunit ribosomal RNA", at positions 93 to 671 of the family's 1533-position model. The record is from RNAcentral. Lineage: Bacteria; Bacillati; Actinomycetota; Actinomycetes; Kitasatosporales; Streptomycetaceae.
UAGUGGCGAACGGGUGAGUAACACGUGGGCAAUCUGCCCUUCACUCUGGGACAAGCCCUGGAAACGGGGUCUAAUACCGGAUAUCACUCCUGCAGGCAUCUGCGGGGGUUGAAAGCUCCGGCGGUGAAGGAUGAGCCCGCGGCCUAUCAGCUUGUUGGUGAGGUAAUGGCUCACCAAGGCGACGACGGGUAGCCGGCCUGAGAGGGCGACCGGCCACACUGGGACUGAGACACGGCCCAGACUCCUACGGGAGGCAGCAGUGGGGAAUAUUGCACAAUGGGCGAAAGCCUGAUGCAGCGACGCCGCGUGAGGGAUGACGGCCUUCGGGUUGUAAACCUCUUUCAGCAGGGAAGAAGCGAAAGUGACGGUACCUGCAGAAGAAGCGCCGGCUAACUACGUGCCAGCAGCCGCGGUAAUACGUAGGGCGCAAGCGUUGUCCGGAUUUAUUGGGCGUAAAGAGCUCGUAGGCGGCUUGUCACGUCGGGUGUGAAAGCCCGGGGCUUAACCCCGGGUCUGCAUUCGAUACGGNCUAGCUAGAGUGUGGUAGGGGAGAUCGGAAUUCCU